GAGCCAAUCCCAGCAAAGCCGGUCUCAGUUCGGAUUGCAGGCUGCAACUCGCCUGCAUGAAGUCGGAAUUGCUAGUAAUCGCGGAUCAGCAUGCCGCGGUGAAUACGUUCCCGGGUCUUGUACACACCGCCCGUCACACCACGAGAGUUUACAACACCCGAAGUCGGUGGGGUAACCCGCAAGGGGGCCAGCCGCCGAAGGUGGGGUAGAUGAUUGGGGUGAAGUCGUAACAAGGUAGCCGUAUCGGAAGGUGCGGCUGGAUCACCUCCUUUCUAUGGAGA
Molecule: ribosomal RNA, 281 nt
Filed under: Paenibacillus sp. P3E
Lineage: Bacteria; Bacillati; Bacillota; Bacilli; Caryophanales; Paenibacillaceae
Description: partial 16S ribosomal RNA
Rfam family: Bacterial small subunit ribosomal RNA
Source: RNAcentral